UCCAACCGGUGGCAACACUGGUGAAGACUUAGUGGCGAACGGGUGAGUAUCACGUGAGCAACCUGCCCCGAAGACUGGGAUAACACCGGGAAACCGGUGCUAAUACCGGAUACCCCCACCGGAUCGCAUGGUCUGGUGAGGAAAUGAAUUUUGCUUUGGGAGGGACUCGCGGCCUAUCAGCUUGUUGGUGGUGUAACGGACCACCAAGGCUUCGACGGGUAGCUGGUCUGAGAGGACGAUCAGCCGCACUGGGACUGAGACACGGCCCAGACUCCUACGGGAGGCAGCAGUGGGGAAUCUUGCGCAAUGGGCGAAAGCCUGACGCAGCAACGCCGCGUGAGGGACGAAGGCCUUCUGGG
This 359-nucleotide ribosomal RNA is filed under the name uncultured bacterium. RNAcentral's name for it is "bacterial SSU rRNA". It matches the Rfam family "Bacterial small subunit ribosomal RNA", at positions 68 to 423 of the family's 1533-position model. The record is from RNAcentral.